Molecule: long non-coding RNA, 3787 nt
Organism: Lactuca sativa (garden lettuce)
Lineage: Eukaryota; Viridiplantae; Streptophyta; Magnoliopsida; Asterales; Asteraceae
Source: RefSeq, a predicted model, not a curated record
CCCUAUUAUUAUGGUACCGUUUAGAACAAAUUCAUAGGCUUCAAAAACCUCUACGUAACCCAUUCUCCAAACGACGCAAUUUACCAACAUGUCGACUCAAAAUCAAUCAUUCUCAUCGUCGCAUCCAUUUGAACGCUCCUCCUUUUGCAAUUCGACAUAUCCUUCCAUUCUCCAUCUUUCCAGUCACACAUAUCGUUUCCUCAAAGAUCUGGAAAUCGGAAUCAAAGAAGACUCUAAUUAUGUGAUUAACGAUAAAUUCAUCAUUUUGUUGACCGGAUUUGCAAAUCGGAAUCAAAGAAGAACGGCUCAACUUUUCUUUCUUCCGUCACCAUCUUUUCUAUAGGUAUAUUAUCAAUAGGAACCCUAAUUUGCUUUCAAGUUUUAUUCGUUGUUACUAUUAAUCCAAUCGAUGGAUUUCUUUCCCGUUCAGUUUUUUUUUUUUUGAUCAAUUUUAUCCCCAAAAUAUUCUUCUCAUUCUUUUAUACGCACAAUCAACAUCAUGGUGUAUAGACAAUAACCCUUAAUCAAUGAAAGACGUUCAACAUUUUUCUUGCACCUGUUUUAAAAAUCAGAGUGCUCAAUCUUCAUGAAGGUUGGUGUUGUACCUGCUUCUGAAUCUUAAAGUAGAAACGUGCAAUUCUCCUAAACCGCCCCAAAUUUUCUAAUUUUUUGAUUUUGGUGUCGCUUCAAACCAACAAUUUUUAUUCAAAUUAAAAGUUUAAAAAGGCAAAAAUAUCGUAUCGAUUUAAUUUGCAUUUCAGCACAUACCCUACAUGAUUUUCAAUUUUCAAUUAAGGGUUAGGGUUCGCCAAGGUAAACUGAACAAGGAUGGAAACAUGAAUAUAAUGGGCUAUGUCACCUUUCAUGGUUGGGUAUAAUAGACUUAUAGGUUGAGUUGUCUUGCAUCCAUGAACCUCCAUAACAUGCAUGAAUAAUGUAUGUCAAGACAGACACACCCACACACAGAGAGAAGAAAGAUGCUUCUCAGUUGAUCAAGCACAAUCACAAGUUAAGAUGUGAAUUAGAUUUCUUUUUUAUUAAUGUAAAUUCUAUAAAAUUAUUUCAAUAAAUAUCAGUGUUUCUUUAUUUUCAUUGCAGAGAGAGGGUAUUAAAUUUGUAACUAUUGGAUGAUAAAACCCUCAGGCAACAAUCUCUUCUUCUAUUCCACACCAAAUUGGAUUUCUUAACCAUAGAGGUUUUUCUGUGAUAUGUGGAAAGGCUGAUAUAGCGUGCACACUUUCAUGUACUCCAGCCAAAAACACACAGAAUUUGAAGUUGGUCUCGAAGAUCAAGUGAUCCUUAAGGCGGACAUUUGGCACGACUAACAACUCACUUUAACCUAUUCAAAGUAAUUUUCCGCCGUCCUUUCAUCCCACAUGUUCUCCUCUGAUGUGUGAAAUUGUCUCAAGACAUUUCUGAAUGAUUAUGGGUUAUUUUUGAAAGUGAUGAACAACCUCUAUCAAAUUGAUCGAAUUGCAUGAAAUUUGUCACGCUUCAUCUUUCUGAUUCAAUAAAUGUUCACAACCAUUGUGAUUGAUUAGUACCUUCCUGCAAAUUUGUGUAUGUUACCCUGUAUAUUAUCCCAUUUCCUCUCUCGUUCUUUUGUGUUCUGUUUGGUUAUUAACUUUUCAAAAGCAUAAUUCCCGGUCUUCAUGAAGGUUAGCGUCAUAAAUAGGUCUCUAUCCGAAACUAAAAUUGACCAUAUUUAUCCCAUACCGCAUGUAUUUUUAAAUGGUGUGAUUGCAAAACUUCAAAUUUCCAUCAAAUUAAAAAAAAAUUGACAUAUCCUUCAAAUUGCAAUUUGUUUGAAAAGUUCCUGUAUUUCUAAAUUGAUCAUAAUUGGUCAACUUUUUUCCUUUAAAUUAAAAAAAAAAAUCAGAAAAAAUCCACUAAUUUCCAUCAUAUUAAAAAAAAUUAACAUAGCCUUCAAAUUGCAAUUUUGUUUUCCAUGUUCCUAUGUUUCUAAAAUUGAUGUAACUGGUCAACUAUUUUCCUUUAAAUUAAAAAAAAAUCAGAAAACAUCCCCUGUGAAAAAGUUUUAGUAUAUUGUAAUUUUCGUGAGUUAUGGAUAUACAAAUUGGUGUUAAAAGUAUAAGUUGAAAUGAAUAUGGAUUGAUCUAAUUAAACUUCAUUAGUCCUCUUUCUUAAGUUAACCAAAAAUUGCAAAUUGUUGAUUGGCAUUAUGUACAUGUGAAUACAGAAAUCAGACAUAUCUCCAACUUAUCUUAACUACAUUAAUAUUCCAUAAGAAAAAUCAUUUCAAUAUAGUAAUAACUACACACUAACCAAUGGAACAACCCAUUAUUUAGUUAAAAUUGUGGCAAUAUUGCAAUCUCAUUUUUGUCCUUUCUCUCUCUGUUUUUUUAAUGUUAUCUUCUUAAUAACCAGGCAAUAUUGAAUGGAUUUGAAUUUUAAAACCAAUUCAAGCAGAUGUAAACUGGAACAUCAAAUGCCCUCUUUGUAAAGAGAAAUCAAAAAUACAGAUCAUGUAUGUGUAUUUCUAUUAAAUAAACUUUUAAACCAAUUUUCUUUCAACAUCAUGAUUCUUUGAACAACUCAAGGGCAAUAAUUGAAAUCAAUAAUGGAACUGGAACAAUUGCUGCAAGCAUAUCAACACCAGAAAUUGAAAAGUUAAUUCCAUUAAACCCCAAUGAAAUCAAAGAUGUAGCAAAAAGUGUAAGGUUUCCUAAUUUCAAAACUGUCAUUUUUUAAUUAUUUAAAUAUUUUCAUUACAUUUAAUAAAUUACAUAAAGCAGGAAAAAAUGUACAUGAUGUUAUCGCAUCAUCAGUUCAAGGAUUAUCAGUUGUCACAUUUGUACGAUCAUAUCAAUCAUGGAACCAACAACAACAAAUCACAAGAUUUGUCAUUGUCAAGUUGUAUGAAGUCCAAGAACAUUACACCAAUGACCAACAACUACUCAUUCCAUCAACUAAAUUUGAAACUUUGUUAACAACAAAACCAGCCUCAACUAAGCAAACCCAAAAGAAUAUCCAGCCAGAUGUAGGGAAAACAAAAGUGACAGAAUCAUCAUCCGUUGGCACAUCAAGACCAACUAAAAAAAUGAAAUAGGUAUGGAGCAACAACCAACAGUGCAUUAAUUAGUUUCAUUGUUUAUUUAUGUACACUAACUGCUUUCAUUUGUUCGUCACAAAGCUAUUUUCCACACAAUCUACCAACCAACAGCUGAUCAUUAUCACUUACCUAAAUAGAGAUAAUAUUAUGUUAUUUCUACAUGGUAUUGGUAUGUUUUUAUGUUAUUAUAUCCAACAUUAUUACAUUAUUAGAACAAUAAUUCAUGUAUGCCUCACCAUAACAUUAUUAUAUCCAACAUUAUUAUAUCCAACAUUAUGUUUUUAUGUUAUUAUAUCCAACAUUAUUACAUUAUUAGAACAAUAAUUCAUGUAUGCCUCACCAUAACAAUAAUUUAUGUACACUAACUGCUUUCAUUUGUUUGUCACAGAGCUAUUUUCCACACAAUCUACCAACCAACAGCUGAUCAUUAUCACUUACCUAAAUAGAGAUAAUAUUAUGUUAUUUCUACAUGGUAUUGAGAAUAGACAAUCAAUCAGAGAAUGGAGAAGGAAUAAAAGAAAAAGAAGUGAAGAACAAUAGGUGUUAUUCAGAAUUAGAUUUCAAGAAUCGAUUAUCAGAAAAUGAGAAGGAUGAAGAAUUGUCGCUCACUUGUAAGAAUGGAGACUUCCAAUUUUGGCUGAUGAUUUUUGUGGUUUGUGUAACUAUGAAAGGAGAAGAAAGAAUCGAGAUUUUCUAAAGUAUCUUGUUUUAAGU